CGGGGGCGGCCGGAUCCUGGGCUGUGUCCCGGUGCCCUGUCCUCUGGGGCCUGCGCUGUUGGAUUCGGCUCCUGGCCGCACAGCCCCCU
RNAcentral lists this microRNA precursor (89 nucleotides) under Canis lupus familiaris (dog). RNAcentral's name for it is "mir-8799 microRNA precursor family". It matches the Rfam family "mir-8799 microRNA precursor family". Lineage: Eukaryota; Metazoa; Chordata; Mammalia; Carnivora; Canidae. The record is from Rfam by way of RNAcentral. RNAcentral also lists the same sequence under 1 other name.